AUGUUUUUUGAGGUUUCUCCCCCUGCCAUCGAGCGGGAGAGAAGGAGUGGGUUCGAGGGAACCCGCCUGGUCGUUUUUCGUGGGACCCGGGGAGGUCGCAGAGGAGUGAGUGGUCGAGAGGAGGUCCGGCAUCGCUCUCCACCAGGGCCCCCCUUCGACCCUGGGCUCGUGAGGGACGGAUCGGAACUGCCGUCUCUCCAUCACGGACAGAGAAGGGGGAGGAAGCACACGUCUGUCGUUCCUGAGACCGUUCACGUUACGUCUGCCGAGCCUGUGUCUUUGGACAAGACGGCCGCGGAAACAUUCUUGGACUAUUUUUCUGUGCUGUCCAAGAUCCUAGAGAUUCCCAACAGUGUUCAUGUCACGGCUGCUGAGCCAGCACCACAGUCCAGGAUGGUAGCCAACCCAGCGCCACAGCACAAGAUGGCCGCCAGCCCAGCGCCACAGCACAAGAUGGCUGCCAGCCCAGCGCCACAGCACAAGAUGGCAGCCAGCCCAGCGCCACAGCACAAGAUGGCCGCCAGCCCAGCACCACAGCCCAAGAUGGCCGCGGAGACAGUAUUAAGUUACUUUUCCAGGAUGUGCCAGAUCCCAGAGUUUCCCAGGAGGGUUCACAUCACGGCCGCUGAGCCAGCGCCAAUGCCCAAGAUGGCCACCAGUUCAGCACCACAGCACAAGAUGGCCGCCAGCCCAGCGCCACAGCACAAGAUGACCGCCAGCCCAGCACCACUGCACAAGAUGGUCGAAUCUACACCUGUGUUGGCAGACAAGAUGGUUGACUCAACGCCUGAGUCUUCCGUCAAGGAGCCACCGGCACGCCAUCAUAGAGGCCGCAGGAGGAGGAGACAGGCGUCAGCCGUUCCUCAAAGCCCGGAGGACGUUCCCGAGCAGGCCGCUGCCAUCCAGGAGGACGUUCCCGAGCAGGACAUUCCGGAGGCCGAUGCGGUGGCCGAGGUGGUUCCCGAUGCAAUGUCCGAUGCCGAGGCAGUGCCCGAUGCCGAGGCGGUGCCCGAGGCGGUGCCCGAUGCCGAGGCGGUGCCCGAUGCCGAGGCGGUGCCUGAUGCGGUGGCCGAGGUGGUUCCCGAUGCAAUGUCCGAUGCCGAGGCGGUGCCCGAGGCGGUGCCUGAUGCAAUGACCGAGGCGGUGCCCGAGGCGGUGCCCGAGGCCGAGGUCGAGGCGGUGCCCGAUGCAAUGGCCGAGGCGGUGCCCGAUCCGGAGGCCGUUCCCGAUGCGGUGCCCGAGGCAGGGUCCGAGGCCAUUCCCGAUGCGGUGCCCGAGGCGCUGUCCGUUGCGGUGCCCAAGAUGGUUCCCGAGGUCGAGGUACUUCACGUCUCCACAGGCCGUCCAGAGCACCUUCACGUCUCCACUGGGACACCGGAAGGGCAGGUUCCGCUCUGGUCGCUCAAGUGGCGAGUUCCUCCCUGGCCGUCUGCACAACUAAGAUGGACUGAUCCUCCGUGGCCACCUGAACUGCCGGGUCCCUCGUGGUCCCCUGAACUUUCGGGUCCACCCUGGCCACCUGAACUGCCUGGUCCCUCGUGGUCCCCUGAACUUUCGGGUCCACCCUGGCCACCUGAACUGUCUGGUCCCUCGUGGUCCCCUGAACUUUUGGGUCAACCCUGGCCCCCUGAACUGUCUGAUCCACCUUGGCUGCCGGUGGAGCCAUUACGGCCGGUCCCUGUUCUCCUACACGGGCCUGGCCCGCCAUCCCUCCCCCUGUUCUACCUCCACCAGUCCACCUCCCUCCUGGUCUUUUUGAUUUGUUUUUUUUUUAUCUGGGGAGCAUCUGGAAGCUGCUCCUUAGAGGGGGGGCUAAUGUCACAGUGUCUGUUCUGUGUCUCCCUGGGUGGCCACUAG
Cyprinus carpio carpio is the source of this 1857-nucleotide long non-coding RNA. NCBI's taxonomy places the organism in Eukaryota, Metazoa, Chordata, Actinopteri, Cypriniformes, Cyprinidae. The record is from Ensembl.